GACAGAGGGUGCAAACGUUGUUCGGAAUUACUGGGCGUAAAGCGUGUGUAGGCGGUCUUGUAAGUCGGGUGUGAAAGCCCUGGGCUCAACCCAGGAAGUGCACUCGAUACUGCGAGGCUAGAGUAUCGGAGAGGUUGGUGGAAUUCUCGGUGUAGAGGUGAAAUUCGUAGAUAUCGAGAGGAACACCGGUGGCGAAGGUGGCCAACUGGACGAAUACUGACGCUGAGACACGAAAGCGUGGGGAGCAAACAGG
RNAcentral lists this ribosomal RNA (253 nucleotides) under uncultured bacterium. RNAcentral's name for it is "partial 16S ribosomal RNA". It matches the Rfam family "Bacterial small subunit ribosomal RNA", at positions 524 to 776 of the family's 1533-position model. The record is from RNAcentral.